GCGGGUCUGCGCGGUGCGUGCAAGGUCCUUUUCCAGUGGCCGAUAAGCAUCUCGAAGGGGGCUGGCUCUGCCGCGGUCGUGGCCACGGUAUCUGGCGCCCACCUGGACAUCCAGGCUCUCGGGAAAUGCACGCCUUCACGGCUGUCGCGGUCCCCGC
This 157-nucleotide non-coding RNA is filed under the name Paracoccaceae bacterium. RNAcentral describes it as "Rhodobacteraceae bacterium (oil production facility metagenome) 6S RNA". It matches the Rfam family "6S / SsrS RNA". From Rfam's summary of the family: E. coli 6S RNA was the first non coding RNA to be sequenced, but its function was unknown until recently. It consists of 184 nucleotides that fold into an extended hairpin structure with a large single-stranded internal bulge. Lineage: Bacteria; Pseudomonadati; Pseudomonadota; Alphaproteobacteria; Rhodobacterales; Paracoccaceae. The record is from RNAcentral.